GAUGAAGAACGCAGCGAAAUGCGAUAAGUAGUGUGAAUUGUAGAAUUCCGUGAAUCAUCGAGUCUUUGAACGCACAUUGCGCCCCCUGGUAUUCCGGGGGGCAUGCCUGUCCGAGCGUCAUUGCUGCCCUCAAGCACGGCUUGUGUGUUGGGCCUCCGUCCUCCUCCCGGGGGACGGGCCCGAAAGGCAGCGGCGGCACCGCGUCCGGUCCUCGAGCGUAUGGGGCUUCGUCACCCGCUCUUGUAGGCCCGGCCGGCGCUUGCCGACACAUCAAUCUUUUUUCCAGGUUGACCUCGGAUCAGGUAGGGAUACCCGCUGAACUUAAGCAUAUCAAUAAGCGGAGGA
This 345-nucleotide unclassified non-coding RNA is filed under the name soil metagenome. RNAcentral's name for it is "partial contains 5.8S ribosomal RNA, internal transcribed spacer 2, and large subunit ribosomal RNA". The stretch from base 1 to 120 matches the Rfam family "5.8S ribosomal RNA", at positions 35 to 154 of the family's 154-position model. The record is from RNAcentral.